UCGCAAUGGCCGAAAGGGUGACGAAGCGACGCCGCGUGUGGGAAGAAGGCCUUCGGGUUGUAAACCACUGUCGGGAGUUAAGAAAUGUAAGGAUGUUAAUAGCGUCCUUACUUGACUAAGGCUCCGGAGGAAGCCACGGCUAACUCUGUGCCAGCAGCCGCGGUAAUACAGAGGUGGCAAGCGUUGUUCGGAAUUAUUGGGCGUAAAGAGCACGUAGGCGGCCUUGAAAGUCAGUUGUGAAAGCCUUCCGCUUAACGGAAGAACAGCAUCUGAUACUACAGGGCUUGAGUGCGGGAGGGGAGAGUGGAACUUCUGGUGGAGCGGUGAAAUGCGUAGAUAUCAGAAGGAACGCCGGCGGCGAAAGCGGCUCUCUGGCCCGUAACUGACGCUGAGUGUGCGAAAGCUAGGGGAUCAAACGGGAUUAGAUACCCCGGUAGUCCUAGCCGUAAACGAUGGGCACUAA
This 463-nucleotide ribosomal RNA is filed under the name uncultured anaerobic ammonium-oxidizing bacterium. Its description in RNAcentral is "bacterial SSU rRNA". It matches the Rfam family "Bacterial small subunit ribosomal RNA", at positions 366 to 819 of the family's 1533-position model. The record is from RNAcentral.